GAUAAACGCUGGCGGCGUGCCUAAUACAUGCAAGUCGAGCGAACGGACGAGAAGCUUGCUUCUCUGAUGUUAGCGGCGGACGGGUGAGUAACACGUGGAUAACCUACCUAUAAGACUGGGAUAACUUCGGGAAACCGGAGCUAAUACCGGAUAAUAUUUUGAACCGCAUGGUUCAAAAGUGAAAGACGGUCUUGCUGUCACUUAUAGAUGGAUCCGCGCUGCAUUAGCUAGUUGGUAAGGUAACGGCUUACCAAGGCAACGAUGCAUAGCCGACCUGAGAGGGUGAUCGGCCACACUGGAACUGAGACACGGUCCAGACUCCUACGGGAGGCAGCAGUAGGGAAUCUUCCGCAAUGGGCGAAAGCCUGACGGAGCAACGCCGCGUGAGUGAUGAAGGUCUUCGGAUCGUAAAACUCUGUUAUUAGGGAAGAACAUAUGUGUAAGUAACUGUGCACAUCUUGACGGUACCUAAUCAGAAAGCCACGGCUAACUACGUGCCAGCAGCCGCGGUAAUACGUAGGUGGCAAGCGUUAUCCGGAAUUAUUGGGCGUAAAGCGCGCGUAGGCGGUUUUUUAAGUCUGAUGUGAAAGCCCACGGCUCAACCGUGGAGGGUCAUUGGAAACUGGAAAACUUGAGUGCAGAAGAGGAAAGUGGAAUUCCAUGUGUAGCGGUGAAAUGCGCAGAGAUAUGGAGGAACACCAGUGGCGAAGGCGACUUUCUGGUCUGUAACUGACGCUGAUGUGCGAAAGCGUGGGGAUCAAACAGGAUUAGAUACCCUGGUAGUCCACGCCGUAAACGAUGAGUGCUAAGUGUUAGGGGGUUUCCGCCCCUUAGUGCUGCAGCUAACGCAUUAAGCACUCCGCCUGGGGAGUACGACCGCAAGGUUGAAACUCAAAGGAAUUGACGGGGACCCGCACAAGCGGUGGAGCAUGUGGUUUAAUUCGAAGCAACGCGAAGAACCUUACCAAAUCUUGACAUCCUUUGACAACUCUAGAGAUAGAGCCUUCCCCUUCGGGGGACAAGGUGACAGGUGGUGCAUGGUUGUCGUCAGCUCGUGUCGUGAGAUGUUGGGUUAAGUCCCGCAACGAGCGCAACCCUUAAGCUUAGUUGCCAUCAUUAAGUUGGGCACUCUAAGUUGACUGCCGGUGACAAACCGGAGGAAGGUGGGGAUGACGUCAAAUCAUCAUGCCCCUUAUGAUUUGGGCUACACACGUGCUACAAUGGACAAUACAAAGGGCAGCGAAACCGCGAGGUCAAGCAAAUCCCAUAAAGUUGUUCUCAGUUCGGAUUGUAGUCUGCAACUCGACUACAUGAAGCUGGAAUCGCUAGUAAUCGUAGAUCAGCAUGCUACGGUGAAUACGUUCCCGGGUCU
Molecule: ribosomal RNA, 1372 nt
Filed under: uncultured bacterium
Lineage: Bacteria
Description: bacterial SSU rRNA
Rfam family: Bacterial small subunit ribosomal RNA
Source: RNAcentral